This 817-nucleotide ribosomal RNA is filed under the name uncultured organism. RNAcentral's name for it is "bacterial SSU rRNA". It matches the Rfam family "Bacterial small subunit ribosomal RNA", at positions 592 to 1411 of the family's 1533-position model. The record is from RNAcentral.
UGGUGAAAUCUCUCGGCUUAACCCGGGAAACUGCCAAUGAUACUGCAAGUUCUUGAGUAUGCUCGAGGUAGGCGGAAUAUGUCAUGUAACGGUGAAAUGCAUAGAAUAUGACAUAGAACACCAAUAGCGAAGGCAGCUUACCAGAUCAUAACUGACACUGAGGGACGAAAGCGUGGGGAGCGAACAGGAUUAGAUACCCUGGUAGUCCACGCCGUAAACGAUGAUCACUAGACAUUGGCGACAUACUGUCGGUGUCAAAGCGAAAGUAUUAAGUGAUCCACCUGGGGAGUACGCCGGCAACGGUGAAACUCAAAGGAAUUGACGGGGGCCCGCACAAGCGGUGGAGCAUGUGGUUUAAUUCGAUGAUACGCGAGGAACCUUACCUGGGCUUAAAUGCAGAACGACCUCCCGAGAAAUCGGGAUUUCUUCGGACGGACUGCAAGGUGCUGCAUGGUUGUCGUCAGCUCGUGCCGUGAGGUGUCGGGUUAAGUCCCAUAACGAGCGCAACCCCUAUCGUUAGUUGCCAGCGGAUAAUGCCGGGGACUCUAACGAAACUGCCCGUGCAAGCGGAGAGGAAGGUGGGGAUGACGUCAAAUCAUCACGGCCCUUACGUCCAGGGCUACACACGUGCUACAAUGGCGCAUACAAAGGGCAGCUACCACGCGAGUGGAUGCUAAUCUCUAAAGUGCGUCUCAGUUCGGAUUGAAGUCUGCAACUCGACUUCAUGAAGCUGGAAUCGCUAGUAAUCGCGCAUCAGCCAUGGCGCGGUGAAUACGUUCCCGGGCCUUGUACACACCGCCCGUCAAGCCAUGGAAGC